This 2146-nucleotide long non-coding RNA is filed under the name Helianthus annuus (common sunflower). The record is from RNAcentral. Lineage: Eukaryota; Viridiplantae; Streptophyta; Magnoliopsida; Asterales; Asteraceae.
AAAACUUUUUUAUUUUCCCUCUUUCUCAUUAUCAAACCGCUAUCCAACCACGUUUCCCAACCUAAUUCUGGUGAUUAAAGGGAAAAUCGAACUUGACGACUUGUUCAAUCGCUAGAAGGAGUCAACUGCCGGUGAUCGGAGGGUUACCAUUGGUUCAAUCGCAACCACAACCACCUUCAAUUUUAGACAGUAUGUGUAGGCGCCAACAGCUACGUUCACUUCUACAGACAUUAGUAAAAUGCAAGAUUAUCAAUCAAAUUCUCAUGAUGCACAUGGAAAAGGAAAUGAGUAUUUGGAAGCUAGACUAGUGAGGAUUCAGGAGAACCAAAAAAGACUACGAGAAUUUGGAGUUAAAAACAUUGUGGACUCUAUGGAAGUCUGGUAGACAGUAACAAAAUGAAGAAAAAACAGUGAAGAACACUCAUGCGGGGGAUGUAGACUAUAUUCCAGAUCCAGGUGAUGUUUGUGAGGAAGAUAUCCAACAAGUUGGUAGAAGUGUUAUAGUACCCAAAAAGCGACAACGUUCACAAUAUAUUCCACCAAUGUCCAUGAAUAGAGCUGCUAAUCUCAUGAAACUACGCUGGGUGCUUGCUCCAAAUGUCUCUCAAAAGGUUCCAUCUACUUCAAAUGCAACAAAACCGAAUAAAGCAGGAGCAUAUAGAAGGAUGAUUCUUGUUGAUGAGGAUGACGACGAGGACGAGGAAAUAUUUCAAGGUAUUAUUUUGUUAAUCUUAAACUUUAUUCAAUCAAAAGUACCUUUUGUCCUCUAUGCUUUAAGAAGGUAACACAGUGGAUAUGAAGGUAGAUGACGCGUAUAAAGACAUAGACGAUACAAUAGACGAGAUACAAAUGGUAGAUCACAACUAUUCUGAAGAUGAACACAAUGAUCAAGAACAAUUGCACGGCCCUGAAAAAGAUAAAGCAACAGAGGUGCUCCCAAAAAGGUUAGAGGUCAUACCCAAAAGGCCGAAAUAUGGAAAAUGAAUUCUACUGAAAGAAUAGCCGUCACAUUUAACGACUUUGGACAACCAGUGGGGGAAGAAGGCAAAGGACUUGUUCGGUAUCUUGGGACACUUGUGAGGAUGGCUGAUCAUGUAUCAAUUAAGUAUUCUGACUGGAGAAAAAGUUCCCAUGAAAAAUAAAGAGGAUAUGUAUUCACUUGUUAAGUCCAAAUUUGUUAUUCAUCCAGAUGAAACAGGUCAGGUUAAAGAAUGGAUAUUCCAAAACAUGGGGAAAAAUGGAGAACGUGGAAAGGUUUAUUAAAGUCACGUGGAUAUGAUCCCAGCCUUACUAGUGACAAAAUUGUGACGCAACAUACUAAUAAUGACGAUAGAGUGAAUCCAACUCAAUUUAAAGAACUUGUUACUCAUUGGUUCACUCUGAAAUUUCAGACUACAUGCGCUGCAAAAAGAUUGAGCCGCUCAAAGAUGAAGGAGCCUCAUGUAACCGGGACAAAGUCGUUUGCUAGACUUGCUCAUGAAGUGGCAACGAAGAAUGAUGGUGUAUACCUGACCCGAGGAGAAAUGUGUAUAAUAACAACUCGCACUCAUAAAGACGAAAGUUUUGUUGAUGAUAAAGCAGCUAACGUUGUGGCUUCACUAAAAGCUAUUGCAAAUGACUCUGUAAGCAAACCCAUAGAUUCGCAUGAUUUUACAAAUGAUGAAUACUCAAAAGUUAAAGGCACAGAGAAAAGAGGGUAUGUUCGAUUAGUUGGAAGAAUGCCAGCCAUAAAAAGUAACGGUGAUUCUUCGACUAAUUCACAUACUAUUCAUGAGCUACAGAGUGUUGUGAACGUUAUGAUGAACAUUAUCCAAGAACGUAUCCCCGAUGCAAACUUGCCUAUAGUUCUUAGCAAUAUGAACAUACAGGUCCCUCGCGUUGGUUCUUCGGCUCCUAGCAACUCGUUACCUAGCAAGGAAUUAUGAUCUUCAAGAAGUGACGAUAUUGAUGACAGAGCUGACAACAUGUGAAGCCUUGGAGGAAUAGAGAUAACAAGAUUAAUGAAUUGCUUGGAACUAAGUUUUUUUAGAGUAUGAUUUGUAUCGAAAGAACGUUUUGACUUCUUUUGUAGACAUUCAUUUGUUUGCUAAGAUUUACAGUAUGUUUUGGAUCCAACUUUUAGUUGAAAUUAUGACAUUAUUAUUUU